Molecule: ribosomal RNA, 253 nt
Filed under: uncultured bacterium
Lineage: Bacteria
Description: partial 16S ribosomal RNA
Rfam family: Bacterial small subunit ribosomal RNA
Source: RNAcentral
GACGGAGGAUGCAAGCGUUAUCCGGAAUUAUUGGGCGUAAAGCGUUCGCAGGUGGCUGUUCAAGUCUGCUGUCAAAGACCGGGGCUUAACCCCAGAAAGGCAGUGGAAACUGAACGGCUGGAGUGCAGUAUGGGUAGAGGGAAUUCCCAGUGUAGCGGUGAAAUGCGUAGAGAUUGGGAAGAACACCGGUGGCGAAAGCGCUCUGCUGGACUGCAACUGACACUGAGGGACGAAAGCUAGGGGAGCGAAAGGG